This 847-nucleotide ribosomal RNA is filed under the name Cudoniella indica. RNAcentral describes it as "eukaryotic LSU rRNA". It matches the Rfam family "Eukaryotic large subunit ribosomal RNA", at positions 71 to 941 of the family's 3401-position model. The record is from RNAcentral. Lineage: Eukaryota; Fungi; Ascomycota; Leotiomycetes; Helotiales; Helotiaceae.
GGGAUUACCUCAGUAACGGCGAGUGAAGCGGUAACAGCUCAAAUUUGAAAUCUGGCUCUUUCAGGGUCCGAGUUGUAAUUUGUAGACGAUGCUUUGGGUGUGGUGCCGGUCUAAGUUCCUUGGAACAGGACGUCAUAGAGGGUGAGAAUCCCGUAUGUGAUCGGUCGCCUUCGCCCGUGUAAAGCUCGUUCGACGAGUCGAGUUGUUUGGGAAUGCAGCUCAAAAUGGGUGGUAAAUUUCAUCUAAAGCUAAAUAUUGGCCAGAGACCGAUAGCGCACAAGUAGAGUGAUCGAAAGAUGAAAAGCACUUUGGAAAGAGAGUUAAACAGUACGUGAAAUUGUUGAAAGGGAAGCGCUUGCAACCAGACUUGGGCUGUCGCAAUCAUCCGGGGCUCGCCCCGGUGCACUUGUGGCGGCACAGGCCAGCAUCAGUUUCGGUGGUGGGAUAAAGGCCUUGGGAAUGUAGCUUCUUUCGGGGAGUGUUAUAGCCCUCGGUGCAAUGCCGCCUACCGGGACUGAGGAACGCGCUUCGGCGAGGAUGCUGGCGUAAUGGUUGUAAGCGACCCGUCUUGAAACACGGACCAAGGAGUCUAACAUCUAUGCGAGUGUUUGGGUGUCAAACCCAUACGCGUAAUGAAAGUGAACGGAGGUGAGAACCCGUUAGGGUGCAUCAUCGACCGAUCCUGAUGUCUUCGGAUGGAUUUGAGUAAGAGCAUAGCUGUUGGGACCCGAAGAUGGUGAACUAUGCCUAAAUAGGGUGAAACCAGAGAAACUCUGGUGGAGCUCGCAGCGGUUCUGACGUGCAAUCGAUCGUCAAAUUUGGGUAUAGGGGCAAAGACUAUCGAACA